GAAUAUUGUGGUGCAUGCCUAUAGUCCCAGCUACUUAGGACUCUGAAGUGGGAAGUUUGCUUAAGCCUGGAAGUUCUGGGCUAUAGUGCACUAUACUGAUUGGGUGUCCACACUAAGUUUGGCAUCAAUAUGGUGAACUCCUGGGAAUCCACUAUGUUGCCUAAGGAGGAGGGGUCAACUGACCCAGGUUGAAAAUGGAACAGGUCAAAAUUCCCAUGCUGAUUAGUAGUGGGAUUGUGCCUGUGAAUAGCCACUGCAUUCCAACCUUGGCAACAUAGAGAAACCCUUUCUCU
RNAcentral lists this signal recognition particle RNA (293 nucleotides) under Carlito syrichta (Philippine tarsier). RNAcentral's name for it is "Metazoan signal recognition particle RNA (ENSTSYG00000030875.1)". It matches the Rfam family "Metazoan signal recognition particle RNA". Rfam says of the family: The signal recognition particle (SRP) is a universally conserved ribonucleoprotein. It is involved in the co-translational targeting of proteins to membranes. The record is from RNAcentral. Lineage: Eukaryota; Metazoa; Chordata; Mammalia; Primates; Tarsiidae.